AUAGAAAUUCUUGGCUGCUUUAUAUUGCUGUAGAAAAAACAAUUAAAUCUUAUUUUAAACUUUUCGUUUCAGAAAACAGUACAGCUCAUAUUCGACAAUAUUCCUUGAUGACAGCACAGCCAGCCAGCCUUAUCUUACAAUGACAACAAUAUCGACGAGCCAGAGCGAGGCCAUGGCCCUGCAGUCGAUCCGAAACAUGCGUGGGAACUCCCACUGUGUGGACUGUGAGACCCAGAAUCCUAACUGGGCCAGUUUGAACUUGGGAGUCCUCAUGUGUAUUGAAUGCUCAGGGAUCCACCAGAAUCUUGGCACCCACCUUUCCCGAGUGCGAUCUCUGGACCUGGAUGACUGGCCAGUUCAGCUCAUGAAGGUUAUGUUAUCUAUUGGCAAUGACCUAGCCAACAGCAUCUGGGAAGGGAGCAGCCAGGGGCAGACAAAACCCUCAGUAGACCACAAAGGAAGAGAAGGAAUGGUAGAUCUGUGCCAAAUAUGAGCAGAAGCUCUUCCUGUCCCCACUACCCUGCACGGAGCUGUCCCUGGGCCAGCACCUGCUGUGGGUCACCACUAACGAGGACCUGCGGACAGCCAUCCUGCUGCUGGCACAUGGCUCCCGGGAGGAGGUGAACGAGACCUGUGGGGAGGGAGACGGCUGCACAGCGCUGCAUCUGGCCUGCCGCAAGGGGAAUGUGGUCCUGGCGCAGCUCCUGAUCUGGUACGGGGUGGACGUCAUGGCCUGAGAUGCCCACGGGAACACAGCGCUGGCCUACGCCCGGCAGGCCUCCAGCCAGGAGUGCAUCGAUGUGCUGCUGCAGUACGGCUGCUGCGAAGAGCACUUGUAGUAUCUGUUUAAUUUUAUUUGACUGCAGUCUCCUUGGUGCAAAAACAAAAUGGGAAAAAUAAAUGAGAAUAACUCAGAAAUUCAAAAGGAAAUCACAAAUUCAGUGAAUAAUACCAUUUUGAGUGCAUUUCGUAAACUAAGUAAAUACACAAAAUGUUGAUUUUUCCAACCGUAAGAUAUUUUAUGUCUUUUUGCCAAGGUGGAUGUGUUAGUCUCAGGCCCUCCUGGGCCACAUUGCCCAGGUCACACAGGCUUCUGUAUUAUGUAUUUAGAUAAGACAUGUGAAAAUAUAUUUGAAAAAAAGUUC
This 1145-nucleotide small RNA is filed under the name Pongo abelii (Sumatran orangutan). Its description in RNAcentral is "processed transcript". The record is from RNAcentral. Lineage: Eukaryota; Metazoa; Chordata; Mammalia; Primates; Hominidae.